ACGAGUAGCAAUACUUGGUGGCGACCGGCGCAAGGGUGCGUAACGCGUGAGCAACAUGCCCGUAUCAGGGGGAUAAUCCAGGGAAACUUGGUCUAAUACCCCAUAGUAAUCAUAUCAGGCAUCUGGUAUGAUUUAAAGCUUAGGUGGAUACGGAUUGGCUCGCGUGACAUUAGCUAGAUGGUAAGGUAACGGCUUACCAUGGCUAUGAUGUCUAGGGGUUCUGAGAGGAAGGUCCCCCACACUGGAACUGAGACACGGUCCAGACUCCUACGGGAGGCAGCAGUGAGGAAUAUUGGACAAUGGAUGGAAAUCUGAUCCAGCCAUGCCGCGUGAAGGACGACGGUCCUAUGGAUUGUAAACUUCUUUUGUAUGGGAGCAAUAAGGUCUACGUGUAGAUCGAUGAGAGUACCAUACGAAUAAGCAUCGGCUAACUCCGUGCCAGCAGCCGCGGUAAUACGGAGGAUGCGAGCGUUAUCCGGAUUUAUUGGGUUUAAAGGGUGCGUAGGCGGUUGUAUAAGUCAGCGGUGAAAUCUUCCGGCUUAACCGGGAGACUGC
This 555-nucleotide ribosomal RNA is filed under the name uncultured bacterium. RNAcentral's name for it is "bacterial SSU rRNA". It matches the Rfam family "Bacterial small subunit ribosomal RNA", at positions 72 to 624 of the family's 1533-position model. The record is from RNAcentral.